UACGGGGGGGGUAAGCGUUGUUCGGAAUUAUUGGGCGUAAAGAGCUUGUAGGCGGUUUGUCGCGUCUGCUGUGAAAUUUCGGGGCUCAACCCCGAACUUGCAGUGGGUACGGGCAGACUAGAGUGUGGUAGGGGAGACUGGAAUUCCUGGUGUAGCGGUGAAAUGCGCAGAUAUCAGGAGGAACACCGGUGGCGAAGGCGGGUCUCUGGGCCGAUAUUGACGCUGAGGAGCGAAAGCGUGGGGAGCGAACAGG
This 253-nucleotide ribosomal RNA is filed under the name uncultured bacterium. RNAcentral describes it as "partial 16S ribosomal RNA". It matches the Rfam family "Bacterial small subunit ribosomal RNA", at positions 524 to 776 of the family's 1533-position model. The record is from RNAcentral.